Molecule: ribosomal RNA, 252 nt
Filed under: uncultured bacterium
Lineage: Bacteria
Description: partial 16S ribosomal RNA
Rfam family: Bacterial small subunit ribosomal RNA
Source: RNAcentral
UACGGAGGAUGCGAGCGUUAUCCGGAUUUAUUGGGUUUAAAGGGUGCGUAGGCGGGCUGUUAAGUCAGCGGUAAAAUAUCGGGGCUCAACCCCGUUUAGCCGUUGAAACUGGCGGUCUUGAGACGGUGAGAGGUACGCGGAAUGCGCGGUGUAGCGGUGAAAUGCAUAGAUAUCGCGCAGAACUCCGAUUGCGAAGGCAGCGUACCGGUGCCGAUCUGACGCUGAGGCACGAAAGCGUGGGGAUCGAACAGG